Molecule: ribosomal RNA, 325 nt
Filed under: uncultured eukaryote
Lineage: Eukaryota
Description: partial 18S ribosomal RNA
Rfam family: Eukaryotic small subunit ribosomal RNA
Source: RNAcentral
CCCUUAGAUGUUCUGGGCCGCACGCGCGCUACACUGAUGCAUUCAACAAGUUCUACCUUGGCCGAGAGGCCUGGGAAAUCUUUCAAAUAUGUAUCGUGAUAGGGAUAGAUUAUUGCAAUUAUUAAUCUUGAACGAGGAAUUCCUAGUAAAUGCAGAUCAUCAUUCUGCGUUGAUUACGUCCCUGCCCUUUGUACACACCGCCCGUCGCACCUACCGAUUGAAUGAUCCGGUGAAGCCUCGGGAUUGUGCCCAGAGAACUUUAUUGUGAUUUGGGUGUGAGAACCUGUCUAAACCUUAUCAUUUAGAGGAAGGUGAAGUCGUAACA